GAGUCUCCACCCUCCUCAUAUUGGCUUUGUCAUCUCCUCAUUAUAAGAUAGCCAUGGGAGCACCAACUUUGUAAUGCAGCACCAAACUGUCUGCCUUAAAGACAAGGAAGGAAAAGUGGUGAUGGCUUAUCUUGGAUUGGAUUCACCUCAAUACAGGCCCUGAGACAAGGACACAAACAAAGAUAGUUUGUGAAGAAACUGGUGGAAUAGUGGGAAAGUGAGACAGGAAAUGGGGGGGGGGGGCUGGCUAAUCAGUAAAGGAUUCAUUAUUAAGCCCCUUUACUCGUUAGGGUUACUGAAGCUGGUCCCACUGGGAAGCUCCUAACCAGUAUAAAACAUGUGCCUUAAAAUCAUCCUACCUGAAGGACAAAAGCUGGAUAUUUACAUCUCCUUUUAGUCAUUGAUUGAGUGUUCCUAUCGGAUUCGUUAACCACUGAGCCACAAUGGGAACUCUUAAGGUUUUUUUUUUUUAAUGGCUGUACCCACUGUACCAGGCUAGGGUUCGAACCCACACCUCCUCAGCAACCUGAGCUGCUGCAUUUGGAUUCUUAAUCCCCUGUGCCACAGCGGGAACUCCAAAAUAAUGUUUAUUACCACAAAAUCUGUGGUAAUUUGUUGCAGCAGAAAUAGAAGAUUAACAUAAAUUGCAUGCAGAUCUAGGGAACAGCAUAUGGAAAACCUCCAAGACACAAGAUUCCUUGGCUGUUUCUAGGAACAGAAAUAAAGCCAGUAUGACUAGAACAUGGUUGGAGGAGAAGGCCUGUGCCAAACAGCAGAACACCACCAAUCUUGCUAAGGUUUUGGCCUAGAUCCCAAAAGCAACAGAAUGCUUUUAAGUGUGGGAGCAGCACAAUUAGAUUGUAUUUUAAAGUACUUUGACUAGUCUGUAGAGAAUAGAUUGAAGGUAGGGACAACUGAGGUUAUUUAUAUUUAUCCAGAAAGAUGAUGAUAGCUUGGAAUAGGGUAAUUGGAAAGAAAUGGAGGAGAGAGUCCAUCCUAAGAAUACUUUCGAAGUAGAAAAAAAAAAAAAACACAGGACUUAGUUGAUGGGUAUGCAGAGAAAAGAUGGUUUUAGAGCUGUGAUUUGCACAACUGGGUAAAUGGUGGUACCAUUCACCAAUAUAGGGAUCAUUUAAAGGAGGACUAGAGAGAAAUGUAGUCAGUAGUGACAAGUACUAAUUUAGAAGUGCUCCACUUGCGGUACCUGAGAGGUAACCAAAGAGUUGUUGAUUAGGCAGUUGUUUAAAGCUCAGAAGAAAGUUCUGGACUGGAAAUGUUAAUAUGACAAUAAUUUUUAGUAUGCUAGCUCUUUGCCUUAUAGGGAAAAGAUAACUGCUAAACGUUUAGCAUUACAAGUUCCAGACAUAAAGGAGGAGGAAAGAACCAGUUCCUUCAACUGUCCUCUUAUCAGAAAAAGCAAAAACUUUCCAGAAACCCCUACAGCUAACUUUAUAUUUGGUCUCAUUACCCAAAACUCUUACAUGGCCUCCUCCAAGAAGCCUUAAGCCUCAGAAAGAAAUCCUGUAUUUCACUUUACAGCCUCUAAGGUAGAAGCACUAGCUAGCAGUGAGUAUUGAGUUUAUUUACAGUAGUUACUGUAAGUGGUAAAUGAAGCCAUGAGAUCGCAUAGGGAGAGGGAAUACAAUGAAGAGAAAAAGACCAAAGAGAGCCUCAAGGAACCCUUAACCUAAAAUUUGAAUUGAGGAGGAGAGGUUACCCCAGAGUUUAAAAAAUACGAUGAGAGAAGGAGGAGGGAUUUGGGUACCAUUUAAGUCAAGGAAAUAGAACUUAAAAAGGAUGAAAAAUAUACUUGUUGAGUGCUAAGAGGUCAACUAAAUUGAGGUCUAUCCAAUAUUCAUUAGAUUUAGUACAUGGAGGUCAUGAAGGAGGAAUUGGGGACACUGAAGCCUCAUUGCAGUAGAGAGAAAAGCAUUUAUAAUAGAAAUGUUUAAAGUAGAAAACAGUUUUUUGGAAUUCCCGUCAUGGCACAGUGGUUAACGAAUCUAACUAGGAACCAUGAGGUUUCAGGUUCGAUCCCUGGCCUUGCUCAGUGGGUUAAGGAUCUGCCAUUGCUGUGAGCUGUGGUGUGGGCUGCAGACGCAGCUCGGAUCCUGCGUUGCUGUGGCUCUGGUGUAGGCCGGUGGCUACAGCUCCAAUUGGACCCCUAGCCUGGGAACCUCCAUAUGCCACGGGAGCAGCUGAAGAAAAGGCAAAAAGACAAAAAAAAAAAA
This 2231-nucleotide long non-coding RNA is filed under the name Sus scrofa (pig). RNAcentral describes it as "lncRNA (ENSSSCG00015036702.1)". The record is from RNAcentral. Lineage: Eukaryota; Metazoa; Chordata; Mammalia; Artiodactyla; Suidae.